AGUGAACGCUGGCGGUAGGCCUAACACAUGCAAGUCGAACGGCAGCACAGUAAGAGCUUGCUCUUACGGGUGGCGAGUGGCGGACGGGUGAGGGAUACAUCGGAAUCUACUUUUUCGUGGGGGAUAACGUAGGGAAACUUACGCUAAUACCGCAUACGACCUACGGGGGAAAGCAGGGGAACUUCGGACCUUGCGCGAUUGAAUGAGCCGAUGUCGGAUUAGCUAGUUGGCGGGGUAAAGGCCCACCAAGGCGACGAUCCGUAGCUGGUCUGAGAGGAUGAUCAGCCACACUGGAACUGAGACACGGUCCAGACUCCUACGGGAGGCAGCAGUGGGGAAUAUUGGACAAUGGGCGCAAGCCUGAUCCAGCCAUACCGCGUGGGUGAAGAAGGCCUUCGGGUUGUAAAGCCCUUUUGUUGGGAAAGAAAAGCAGCAGGUUAAUACCCCGCUGUUCUGACGGUACCCAAAGAAUAAGCACCGGCUAACUUCGUG
Molecule: ribosomal RNA, 492 nt
Filed under: uncultured bacterium
Lineage: Bacteria
Description: partial 16S ribosomal RNA
Rfam family: Bacterial small subunit ribosomal RNA
Source: RNAcentral